Molecule: ribosomal RNA, 250 nt
Filed under: uncultured bacterium
Lineage: Bacteria
Description: partial 16S ribosomal RNA
Rfam family: Bacterial small subunit ribosomal RNA
Source: RNAcentral
UAGAUACCCUGGUAGUCCACGCCGUAAACUAUGCACACAAGCUGUAGUGGGAUUUUACUCCUGCUGUGGCGAAGCUAACGCAAUUAGUGUGCCGCCUGGGGAGUACGGUCGCAAGACUAAAACUCAAAGGAAUUGACGGGGGCCCGCACAAGCGGUGGAUUAUGUGGUUUAAUUCGAAGCAACGCGCAGAACCUUACCUAGGCUUGACAUCCCACGACAUCCGUAGAAAUACGGCUUUGUAGCAAUACAC